UUCAAAUCAAACCCACUUGAAAGAGAGAUCCUAGAGUAUCGACAAACAGAGUACUUAUCUUAAACACUCUAAUGGCCACAGUGAAAAACCCAAUCAAACAAACACUAGAAGGUAUGGUAUACUUCUUCAGCUUAACCACAAAAGGGUAAAUGCUAAUACAUGAAUAGUUCUGUAGUCCACACAUACAAUAAUGAGGGAAUCAUAAACAUCAUCCACAAGCAAUGCCUAUAUCAAACAAGCUUUGUCAAAAAGCUUCAAACUUCAACAUAGCAAUACAAAGAACUAUUUAGAUACUUUCGCGUGGAUCAGUCAAGGAGGUCUUUGAUCAGUGCAGGACUUAUGAGGGCAGCUAAUUGAUGAUAAAGAAGCACAAGGAGACCAAUGUAUAUAGGGAGAAUUCUAGAUUGGCAAUCAAUAAUAGAAAGCAACCCCAAGCCUUUAAAAAUCGACCCAUCAGAUUGCACACACAAGCACGUGGUGAAUCAGGUUCAUUGUUGGAGAGGUUGCGGAGCCACAGAUGCCAUGACUCAAGGCAUGGACAAGGGCCCUCUCCUAUUAAGUUAAAAAAUUGUCUCCUCGAAACUAAAUUAAAAUCAAAAGCUACACACUUUACUCAUAACCUACUCAGACCUUUUACUUAACAUUCAUCAUCUCCACCACAAUGUCACAAACAUAUCAUACAAGCAUUCUAGAGCUAACACAAGUCUAAAGUGAGAAACUUUCGAAACCUAAGACCACAAUGGAGAAGAAAGGAAUCAAUCCAGUUUAUAAACUUCGAGUUUUUUCGGGAGAUUCCAUUAUACAGAUGAAGACAAAAAAAAAACAGAGAGCAAAAUUACGCAAGAGAAAGCAGAGAACUUUGAACAUUAAAAGGAAUCAUACACUGAAAUCCAAGAAAAUGGUUAUACCCAAUUGUAUAAUUGUAUGUUCCAAUACGAAGAAGAAUCAGAAAGAAACCUGUUUAUCUGCGUUUAGCAAAAGCUGAGAAAGAUGAAAUCAAUUUAUACGUCUAAUUCCAUUUUCUAGGGCUUUCAACAAAAAUGAGAGGCAUCUAAACGACAACGUUUCAAUAAAUGGCUGCCUUUAUUGAAACGACAACGUUUCUACCACAACAGAUUGAACCAAAAACACUCUAGAAAACCAAAAAAAAAAAAAACUGAAAAACUAAAGAACAAAAACAUCCCCAAGAAAUCAAUCUGCUACUCUGUCUCUAAGCCAUGACGAUAUGUGUCUUCUCCUUCCUUCUUGUCACAGCAAGAGCUUUAAGAGGAUACUUCAUAACAACAGUGAACUCCCAUUUCUCAGACAAGUCAACUUCAUAACCUUCAACUUCUUUCCACUCAAACUCUUUAACCAAAUUCACCACAAAAUACUCCAAAUGCAACAUGGCCGAUCCAAUCCCUGGACAGAUCCUCCUUCCUGCUCCAAACGGCAUCAUCUUUAUCCCUCUACUUCCAGUAACAUCAACUUCUUUAUCUUCUCCGAUGAAUCUCUCCGGCUUAAACUCCAUUGGCUCCUCCCACACUGUUGGAUCUCUCCCUAUCAUCGCCACAUUGAUAUUAAACGUCCCUUUCUUUGGAACUCUGUAUCCUCCUAGCUCAGUGUCUUCACUUACUCUGUGUGGUAACAACAAAUGUCCCGGUGGAUGUAACCGGAGACCUUCUAACACGACAGCUUUAAGAUACGGCAUCUUCUUCAUCUCUUCUUCUUCAAUCUCCUUCUCUUCUUCUUCACCGAUUACACUUUUUAUCUCUUCGUAUAACCUCUUUUGAAUUUCCUGGUUUCUCACAGAUUCGCCAUUAUCCAUUGAAGUGUCGUCGCUGUUGUAUCAGUCCCGGCGUUGAGAAACUCAGAGCAUAAACUCACGAUCUCGUCUUCGUUUAGUUUCCUCUUCUCAUCAGGAAGCUCAAGAUCGAGCAGAGUAUCUACAUACGAUUGUAUGUAUUCUUUACCGGAAUCUUUAGAUUCGAUCAUGAUCUUUCUCCGGGAACGAAUCAACGGAAGCAAGACGUUCUUGUGUUCUCUCCUGAACGUAAGAAACUCUUCCCAUCUCUUUCUCAGAAACAACUUGGUGAAACUAGGGAAGACAUUGAGGAUGUUGAAUCUUGGUAACGUGAUGAGCUCUCUUCUUUGAACGAAUUCGACUUGUUUGAUCUGUUCUUCGUCAAGCUUAUCUCCGAAACACAUGAGAACAAGAAGCGAGAACAUUGCAUAACGGAGAUGAUCAACGACGACGAUCGGUUUUGCUUCUUCCCCGUGAUUACGAAUUCGAGAACAGAGGUUUUCAAGAACAGAGCGACGAGCGUUGGAAUAAGAUUUGACACGGGAUGGAUGAAGAAUCUCGGAGGUGAGAUUACGACGGAGAAGUCGCCACGUAGCUCCGUAUGAUCCUGAGCUGAUGGUGUGUUGGUUACUAGUGAUGAUCUUUCCGGUAGGAAGCGCCGGUGGACGAUCAGAGAAUACGGCGCCGUUUAAAACAAGAGCCUUGUGAGCCAAGGAACGAUCAGAGACGAAGAUGGCAGGGACGGAAAAGAUGCGGAGAGAGAUGAUUGGGCCGAGACGGUGGUGGAUGGAGCGGAGAUAGGAGUAGAAAUCAUCGAAGCCUUGACGGAGCCACUGGAAGGGACCAGGCAUGGGGAAGAAGUUAGGGUUCGGAGGUAGAGGAAGAUUGUUGUUAGUUCUGCGGAAGAAGAGAUAUAGAAGGAAGUUGACUGUGAAAGAGACGCAGAAGAUGUGAAACCAUGUCGCCAUUUUUCUUGUAUUCUUUCUCUGCUUUUUUUUUGUUAUGCUUUUAGGAUUCUUCCUCUUGAAUUCGUAUAUAUAGCAAAUUCUUCAGAUAACAAUUUGCUAUCGUGACGCUCAAGUAUAAACUGUUUUUAUUUAUAUAUCUAUAGUUCGGAAGACAGAUAAUUUAGAAAUAAGUUUGGAUAAUUGAAAAUAUAUCCGAUUUGUUUGCUUCUUGGGCGACACACCAAGCUCCGGAGAAAGUUAUACGAUCUCUUUGCUACGUUUAGCUUCAUUACUCCAAACCACAAACCCACAUGAAUUUUUGUGACAUCAUCGAACUUUUGUGAUUUUUUUUUAUUUUUGAAGAUAAAGACAAGUUCAAUUAUGAUGUUAUAUCUACCAAGUACCACCAACCAAUGAAAAGAAAUCAAGAUUUCAAGUAGAAUAAAAGUAGAUAAAUAAAUUACAUAAUGAAGAUUAUUCAUCCAACUCUUGUGUUACUUAAUACUCGUUUCGUUGUUAAUCAAAAAUUUCAUUUGGAUUUUAACAAAAAUUAACUAGAUGCUUUCACAUAUGGCUUUCGAUAGAAACGGUGUCAAUAGUAGUAUUACAACACACCACAGAAAAAGGGACGAUCUAUUACAGCGUUUCAAAAUUGUGGUUUGUUUGAUAUUAAGCUUCAGACUGAACGUUUCUGGUCUUGAGACCGAAGAGAUUCUUAAGCAAAUCCGCCGUGUUUGGAGGAAUCUUCGCUGGUCGUGGAGCCAUAAAGUUGACAAUCUUCUCAUGAACAUUAUACCUGUUUCGAUUUUUUACAAGAAAAUGAUUCAAAAGAGAGAAUUAUGGGAAGAGAAAACCUCCAAGAGGUGAAACUAUGUGUGUUUUAUUUACCUGAUCUUUCUGCUCUUUGAGGCACGUCGAUCCACAACUUUCCUCUUCUUCGUCUGGAACUUCUUCAUCUCGUAGAAAGCCGCCUCUGCCAAUGGCAAAUAUUGAGAUUUCAGAAUAUAAAAAAGACUCUUUACACUUGAGUUGUUGGACAUAACAAUCGCUAGGGGGGGUUUCAUAUCUAAUGAUUCUAGGAUGUUUUUCUUUACUAUACCUGAGGAAGCUGGAUCGAUAGUCUCGAGAAACUCCUUUAGUAACUGCCUAUAGAACUCAGCAUCUUCCACAAGUUCAGGGUCUCCUUCUUCUUGUUUUUCCUGGACAAGAAAGAGUACACAUGUUAGAGAAUGGGUAUCAAGAUAAUCAAUGAGAUUGAUUAAAUGUUUAUACUCUUUAUGGUUAGAGAAAACCGUGAUUUUACCUCUGGAUUUGGUUCCAUGGCUUCCUGAGGGACCUGUGGAUGUUUAAAUUUAAAGUCAGGAAAAAUUGAAGAGAAGCUGAUCUAUUGACCACCAAAGGCCAAAUUCUUAGAUGGUUUAUGCUUUUAUUAUCAAAGCAAAAACUUACAGUUCCAAAAACAGCAACAGUAGAUCUUGAUUGUUGCAUCUGUUUAAUCAUUCUACUUGGAUCCCUCAUGUAGGAAGCAACCUGUUCACUAACGUUCUGGUUUUGAAAAUUAAUUUAAAGUUAGAUUCCUGAUUGAUCCCCAGAUAAGAGCAAAAUCAUCUUCGGAGUUUGCUUUCUAUACCUGGUUAAAGGCGUGGAGCUUUCCUUUAAUAGCAGCUGCACCAGUUGUGACUUGUGUUUUUCUCUGCCAUUUGUCCACAGCCUUGUUUCGGAACACAGACAUUCUACAUAGCAAAUACCAAAUUUGUGUUAACGAUGAAACAUAAAUGGUUAUGAGACUGGUCUCCAAAUGAAGUCAAUCAUGCUUUACUAAACAGAAUUCUUUUGAUUGGACAGAACUUUAAAGCUGGACAGUUGAACAUUUAGUCUUGAAUACCUUUUCUGCAAGUCAGAUAUUCGCUGCCAUUCAUCGCUAUCUUCUGCAUCUGAUUUAUUGGAUUCUUCACUAGCUGUUGCUGACAGAUAGAAAAAGAAAGGAGAUGUUAUAUUGACCCUCGCUUAUAGUGAUGAUAAUUAUGUUAUCUGUUAAUAUGGCAUACCAUUCACUUGUUGAUCAACCGAGGGGUUCUUCUCAAACAAAGCCUGUAGAAAUCCAUAUUUAGAUAAUAAUAAUAAAAGUCAACAAACGUGGCAGAGCGACAAAACACUAAGAGACAGCAUACAAUUACUGAAUCAAGCCUAUGCAUACAUACCUCUUGCAACUCCAAGAGGGAAUCUAAUGUCUUCUUAGAUGAAGUAACUAGAUCUGUAUAUGCUGUUGAGACAUCCUCAUCUUCUGAACAAAAUAACGAUUUCACAGGCUCCUGAAAAGGGUACCUUCUGUCAUAAAGUAUGAUGAAACAAACAACCAUAAAUAGAAGAGGAGAAGAGCAUAGCUUACCUGUGGUAAUCUGUUUGAACGAUCAAAUGCUUUCUGAAGUAAGAAUCUGAACUCCAGAAUCUUAUCCCAAAGAGCCUUUACAUAGAGCACAAAGAAAGAAUUGUCAAAAAUUCGCUCUAGAUCAACUUCAUUAACAUAAAAUAGGAAUAUACAACUGCAACUGAUUUCUAGUUAGACUACUUCGCAAACCGCAGAACAAGGUCAUACCUUCUGAUUCUUCACCGCUUGACCUUUAACAGCAUCUUCACCCUUAUCACGCUUCAAGUUCUUCAAUAUAUCCCUAUACCAGGAACACGCAUAUUACACAAAGAACAUUCUUUUGCCUCUCAAUCGUUCAUUUAAAAUUAAAUGAUGCAACCGAAUUAAGACAGUAUCUGACAAAAACUUUUGGCAAAAGUCUGUUCUUUUCCUUUUAAACGUAUAUAUUUUCUACUAAUCACGAAUAAAUCCAAUUGCUAUAAUGAGUUCGAACCUACUUCUAAAUCUAGCCAACAUCCUUGCUGAUCUAGAUUAAACAGUUGAAACUUUAAUACGACUAUCUACCGUUUCUAGAAAGAAACACAUACAAGAAUUCACUAUCUUAGAAAUAACAGUAUUUAAAAAUGAUUAGUUCAAAUGAAAUCUUACUGCUCUUGUGAACGAAGCUCCUUGACCUCUUUCUCAAGCUCUUCCAUCUGAGCAUCUUUAUUGUCAUCAUUACCUUCAUCGCCACUCUCACUCUCUUUAUCAUUUCCAUCUUCAAAGUCCUCGCUUUCUCCAUCCUCGUCUUCCUUGUUCUCUCCUUCAUCAUCUUCCUCGCUAUCUCCUUCAUCAUCUUCCUCGGUAUCUCCUUCAUCGUCUUCCUCACUCUCUCCCUCAUCAUCUUCCAUGCUAUCUACUUCAUCAUCCUCUAUCCCAUCAGGUAAUUGAUCAUCUUCAUUGUCGCUUUCGGCCUAUAAUAUAGAGAACCCUCAACCAAAUAAAUUCACCUAUACCAUCUAAAUAACUUAAACGAGACAAAAGCAACAUAAACAUACCUUAAGGUUUUCUUGGUCGCUUAUGUCUUCCGAUUCACUGUCAAGUCUUGCUCUUUUAGACCUCUUUGACCCCCCAGCCAUUUUAACAACUUUUAAUGCUGCAAUCACGAAAAACUAACUCAAUUGAGGAAGGAGAAACUAUUAUACAGUGGAUUAAGCAAUAAAAAUAUUGAAACAAAUAAAGAAGGACCAAAUAUAGAGCAACAAUGAGGUAACCAUACCAUCAAACAAGCUUUGUCAAAAGCUUCAAACAUAAAAAAAAAAAAAAAAAAAAAAAAAAAAAAAAAAAACAGAGACCUAUAGAUAAUCUCAUAAAAACAGCUCACGUGGAUCAGUCAAAGGGUCUUUGAUCAGUGCAGAAUCACGAGGGUAGCUAAUUGGUGAUAAGGAAGCACAAGGAGACAAAUGUAUAUAGGGAGAAUUCUAGAUUGACAAUCAAUGAUAGAAAGCAACCCCAAGCCUUUAAAAAUCGACCCAUCAGAUUGCACACACAAAUCAGGUUCAUUGUUGGAGAGGUUGCGGAGCCACAGAUGCCAUGGCUCAAGACAUGGACAAGGGCCCUCUCCUAUAAAGUUCAAAGAUUGACUCCUCGUAACUAAAUUAAACAUCAAAAGCCACACACUUUACUCAUAACCUGCUCAGACCUUUUACUUUAACAUUCAUCAUCUCCACCACAAUGUCACAAACAGAUUACAAAGAACAACAUUCUAGAGCUAACACAAGUUUAAAGCAAGAAAACUUUUGAAUCAAACUAGUUUAUGAGUUCGAAUGUUUCAGGAAGAGAAACGAUUAAAUGAAAAAGGGAGAGACUUUGAGCAGAUACGCA
This 6961-nucleotide long non-coding RNA is filed under the name Arabidopsis thaliana (thale cress). RNAcentral describes it as "long non-coding RNA (ATHA_LNC000509)". The record is from RNAcentral. Lineage: Eukaryota; Viridiplantae; Streptophyta; Magnoliopsida; Brassicales; Brassicaceae.